This is a long non-coding RNA of Bufo bufo (common toad), 134 nucleotides long. RefSeq lists it as uncharacterized. NCBI's taxonomy places the organism in Eukaryota, Metazoa, Chordata, Amphibia, Anura, Bufonidae. The record is from RefSeq and is a predicted model, not a curated record. The transcript has 3 exons.
ACAGGAAGCCAGGAGCCCGGACCUCACCCUGAACCUUGGGCGCACAACGGAUCCCAAAAUAAAGAAAGAUGGUCAAGCUUCACUGAAAAAUUAUUGAGGCUUUAUUCAAUACCUCUCCAAAGGAGGAGGAGUGA